UAGAAUUCCAGGUGUAGCGGUGAAAAUGCGUAGAGAUCUGGAGGAAUACCGGUGGCGAAGGCGGCCCCCCUGGACAAAGACUGACGCUCAGGUGCGAAAGCGUGGGGAGCAAACAGGAUUAGAUACCCUGGUAGUUCACCCCGUAAACGAUGUCGACUUGGAGGUUGUGCCCUUGAGGCGUGGCUUCCGGAGCUAUCGGGUUAAGUCGACCGCCUGGGGAGUACGGCCGCAAGGUUAAAACUCAAAUGAAUUGACGGGGGCCCGCACAAGCGGUGGAGCAUGUGGUUUAAUUCGAUGCAACGCGAAGAACCUUACCUACUCUUGACAUCCAGAGAACUUAGCAGAGAUGGUUUGGUGCCUUCGCGAACUCUGAGACAGGUGUUGCAUGGCUGUCGUCAGCUCGUGUUGUGAAAUGUUGGGUUAAGUCCCGCAACGAGCGCAACCCUUAUCCUUUGUUGCCACCGGUUAGGCCGGGAACUCAAAGGAGGCUGCCAGUGAUAAACUGGAGGAAGGUGGGGAUGACGUCAAGUCAUCAUCACCCCUCCGAGUACGGCCACCCAUGAGCGACAAAGCCCAUAAAAAGAAAACCGACCUCGCGAGAGCAAGCCGACCUCAUAAAGUGCGUCGUAGUCCGGAUUGGAGUCCGCACUCGACUCCAUGAAGUCGGAAUCGCUAGUAAUCGUG
Molecule: ribosomal RNA, 684 nt
Filed under: Enterobacter cloacae
Lineage: Bacteria; Pseudomonadati; Pseudomonadota; Gammaproteobacteria; Enterobacterales; Enterobacteriaceae
Description: bacterial SSU rRNA
Rfam family: Bacterial small subunit ribosomal RNA
Source: RNAcentral